AUUUAUCACAUUUAUAAAUUUUGCUAAAUUGCUCAAAAAUGACCAAAAUUUUACAUUUUCUCAAACAGGGUAAGGAACUUGGUUCCUCGAAUAACUUCCGGCCCGGACACCUGAGAGCAUGGCCGUCCAAGAAGAAAAUGUAGCCAUUGUUGCCAUCUAUCGACCACAGGUUAAAGAUUGGCAAUCCGUUGGAUACGGACCGAGUUAUAGGCAAAACUGGGUGCAACAAUGAGGAAAAUUUUACAUUUUCUCAAACAGGGUAAGGAACUUGGUUCCUCGAAUAACUUCCGACCCGGACACCUGAGAGCAUGGCCGUCCAAGAAGAAAAUGUAGCCAUUGUUGCCAUCUAUCGACCACAGGUUAAAGAUUGGCGAUCCGUUGGAUACGGACCGAGUUAUAGGCAAAACUUGGUGCAAAAAUGAGCCUUAGUAAAUUUUUAUAUUUUUGAAUUUUUUGAUUUUUUGAUUAUUUUUCACUCUUUUUUUUAUUUAAAGCAUUACUUGAGUGAAAAGAAACACAUUGCAACCGAUUGGCAUUAAAAUAAAACAAUUUCAUUUUUUUGCAAAAAUUCUCAAAAAAACGUAAGGGGUAAGCCUUAUGAAAUUUUCGAGUUGAAAAUUUUUUAAAAUUUUUUUUGUGAUUUUUUAUUCUAUUUUUAAUUUAAAGCAUUAUUUGAGUGAAAAGAAACACAUUGCAACAAAUUUGCAUGAAAAUAUAUCACAUUUAUAAAUUUUGCAAAAAUGCUCAAAAAUGAGGAAAAUUUUACAUUUUCUCAAACAGGGUAAGGAACUUGGUUCCUCGAAUAACUUCCGGCCCGAACACCUGAGAGCAUGGCUGUCCAAGAAGAAAAUGUAGCCAUUGAUGCCAUCUAUCGACCACAGGUUAAAGAUUAGCGAUCCGUUGGAUACCGACCGAGUUAUAAGCAAAAUUUUGUACAACAAUGAGGAAAAUUUUACAUUUUCUCAAACAGGGUAAGGAACUUGGUUCCUCGAAUAACUUCCGGCCCGGACACCUGAGAGCAUGGCUGUCCAAGAAGAAAAUGUAGCCAUUGAUGCCAUCUAUCGACCACAGGUUGAAGAUUGGCGAUCCGUUGGAUACGGACCGAGUUAUAGGCAAAACUUGGUGCAAAAAUGAGCCUUAGUAAAUUUUCUUUUUUUGAAUUUUUUGAUUUUUUUAUUAUUUUGCACUAUUUUUUUUAUUUAAAUCAUUACUUGAGUGAAAAGAAACACAUUGCAACCAAUUGGCAUUAAAAUAAAUCAAUUUCAUUUUUUUUGCAAAAUUUCCCAAAAAAACGUAAGGGGUAAGCCUUAUGAAAUUUUCGAGUUGAAAAUUUUUUAAAAUUUUUUUUCUGAUUUUUUAUUCUAUUUUUAAUUUAAAGCAUUAUUUGAGUGAAAAGAAACACAUUGCAACAAAUUUGCAUGAAAAUAUAUCACAUUUAUAAAUUUUGCAAAAAUGCUCAAAAAUGAGGAAAAUUUUACAUUUUCUCAAACAGGGUAAGGAACUUGGUUCCUCGAAUAACUUCCGACCCGGACACCUGAGAGCAUGGCCGUCCAAGAAGAAAAUGUAGCCAUUGUUGCCAUCUAUCGACCACAGGUUAAAGAUUGGCGAUCCGUUGGAUACGGACCGAGUUAUAGGCAAAACUUGGUGCAAAAAUGAGCCUUAGUAAAUUUUUAUAUUUUUGAAUUUUUUGAUUUUUUGAUUAUUUUUCACUCUUUUUUUUAUUUAAAGCAUUACUUGAGUGAAAAGAAACACAUUGCAACCGAUUGGCAUUAAAAUAAAACAAUUUCAUUUUUUUGCAAAAAUUCUCAAAAAAACGUAAGGGGUAAGCCUUAUGAAAUUUUCGAGUUGAAAAUUUUUUAAAAUUUUUUUUGUGAUUUUUUAUUCUAUUUUUAAUUUAAAGCAUUAUUUGAGUGAAAAGAAACACAUUGCAACAAAUUUGCAUGAAAAUAUAUCACAUUUAUAAAUUUUGCAAAAAUGCUCAAAAAUGAGGAAAAUUUUACAUUUUCUCAAACAGGGUAAGGAACUUGGUUCCUCGAAUAACUUCCGGCCCGAACACCUGAGAGCAUGGCUGUCCAAGAAGAAAAUGUAGCCAUUGAUGCCAUCUAUCGACCACAGGUUAAAGAUUAGCGAUCCGUUGGAUACCGACCGAGUUAUAAGCAAAAUUUUGUACAACAAUGAGGAAAAUUUUACAUUUUCUCAAACAGGGUAAGGAACUUGGUUCCUCGAAUAACUUCCGACCCGGACACCUGAGAGCAUGGCCGUCCAAGAAGAAAAUGUAGCCAUUGUUGCCAUCUAUCGACCACAGGUUAAAGAUUGGCGAUCCGUUGGAUACGGACCGAGUUAUAGGCAAAACUUGGUGCAAAAAUGAGCCUUAGUAAAUUUUCUUUUUUUGAAUUUUUUGAUUUUUUUAUUAUUUUGCACUAUUUUUUUUAUUUAAAUCAUUACUUGAGUGAAAAGAAACACAUUGCAACCAAUUGGCAUUAAAAUAAAUCAAUUUCAUUUUUUUUGCAAAAUUUCCCAAAAAAACGUAAGGGGUAAGCCUUAUGAAAUUUUCGAGUUGAAAAUUUUUUAAAAUUUUUUUUCUGAUUUUUUAUUCUAUUUUUAAUUUAAAGCAUUAUUUGAGUGAAAAGAAACACAUUGCAACAAAUUUGCAUGAAAAUAUAUCACAUUUAUAAAUUUUGCAAAAAUGCUCAAAAAUGAGGAAAAUUUUACAUUUUCUCAAACAGGGUAAGGAACUUGGUUCCUCGAAUAACUUCCGGCCCGGACACCUGAGAGCAUGGCUGUCCAAGAAGAAAAUGUAGCCAUUGAUGCCAUCUAUCGACCACAGGUUGAAGAUUGGCGAUCCGUUGGAUACGGACCGAGUUAUAGGCAAAACUUGGUGCAAAAAUGAGCCUUAGUAAAUUUUCUUUUUUUGAAUUUUUUGAUUUUUUUAUUAUUUUGCACUAUUUUUUUUAUUUAAAUCAUUACUUGAGUGAAAAGAAACACAUUGCAACCAAUUGGCAUUAAAAUAAAUCAAUUUCAUUUUUUUUGCAAAAUUUCCCAAAAAAACGUAAGGGGUAAGCCUUAUGAAAUUUUCGAGUUGAAAAUUUUUUAAAAUUUUUUUUCUGAUUUUUUAUUCUAUUUUUAAUUUAAAGCAUUAUUUGAGUGAAAAGAAACACAUUGCAACAAAUUUGCAUGAAAAUAUAUCACAUUUAUAAAUUUUGCAAAAAUGCUCAAAAAUGAGGAAAAUUUUACAUUUUCUCAAACAGGGUAAGGAACUUGGUUCCUCGAAUAACUUCCGACCCGGACACCUGAGAGCAUGGCCGUCCAAGAAGAAAAUGUAGCCAUUGUUGCCAUCUAUCGACCACAGGUUAAAGAUUGGCGAUCCGUUGGAUACGGACCGAGUUAUAGGCAAAACUUGGUGCAAAAAUGAGCCUUAGUAAAUUUUCUUUUUUUGAAUUUUUUGAUUUUUUUAUUAUUUUGCACUAUUUUUUUUAUUUAAAUCAUUACUUGAGUGAAAAGAAACACAUUGCAACCAAUUGGCAUUAAAAUAAAUCAAUUUCAUUUUUUUUGCAAAAUUUCCCAAAAAAACGUAAGGGGUAAGCCUUAUGAAAUUUUCGAGUUGAAAAUUUUUUAAAAUUUUUUUUCUGAUUUUUUAUUCUAUUUUUAAUUUAAAGCAUUAUUUGAGUGAAAAGAAACACAUUGCAACAAAUUUGCAUGAAAAUAUAUCACAUUUAUAAAUUUUGCAAAAAUGCUCAAAAAUGAGGAAAAUUUUACAUUUUCUCAAACAGGGUAAGGAACUUGGUUCCUCGAAUAACUUCCGGCCCGGACACCUGAGAGCAUGGCUGUCCAAGAAGAAAAUGUAGCCAUUGAUGCCAUCUAUCGACCACAGGUUAAAGAUUGGCAAUCCGUUGGAUACGGACCGAGUUAUAGGCAAAACUGGGUGCAACAAAGAGGAAAAUUUUACAUUUUCUCAAACAGGGUAAGGAACUCGGUUCCUCGAAUAACUUCCGGCGCGGACACCUGAGAGCAUGGCCGUCCAAGAAGAAAAUGUAGCCAUUGUUGUCAUCUAUCGACCACAGGUUAAAGAUUGGCGAUCCGUUGGAUACGGACCGAGUUAUAGGCAAAACUUGGUGCAAAAAUGAGCCUUAGUAAAUUUUCUUUUUUUGAAUUUUUUGAUUUUUUUUAUUAUUUUUCACUCUUUUUUUCAUUUAAAGCAUUACUUGAGUGAAAAGAAACACAUUGCAACCGAUUGGCAUUAGAAUAAAACAAUUUCAUUUUUUUUGCAAAAAUUCUCAAAAAAACGGAAGGGGUAAGCCUUAUGAAAUUUUCGAGUUGAAAAUUUUUUAAAAUUUUUUUUCUGAUUUUUUAUUCUAUUUUUAAUUUAAAGCAUUAUUUGAGUGAAAAGAAACACAUUGCAACAAAUUUGCAUGAAAAUAUAUCACAUUUAUAAAUUUUGCUAAAUUGCUCAAAAAAGACCAAAAUCUUACAUUUUCUCAAACAGGGGAAGGAACUUGGUUCCUCGAAUAACUUCCGGCCCGGACACCUGAGAGCAUGGCUGUCCAAGAAGAAAAUGUAGCCAUUGAUGCCAUCUAUCGACCACAGGUUAAAGAUUAGCGAUCCGUUGGAUACCGACCGAGUUAUAAGCAAAAUUUUGUGCAACAAUGAGGAAAAUUUUACAUUUUCUCAAACAGGGUAAGGAACUUGGUUCCUCGAAUAAAUUCCGACCCGAACACCUGAGAGCAUGGCCGUCCAAGAAGAAAAUGUAGCCAUUGAUGCCAUCUAUCGACCACAGGUUAAAGAUUGGCGAUCCGUUGGAUACGGACCGAGUUAUAGGCAAAACUUGGUGCAAAAAUGAGCCUUAGUAAAUUUUCUUUUUUUGAAUUUUUUGAUUUUUUUUAUUAUUUUGCACUAUUUUUUUUAUUUAAAUCAUUACUUGAGUGAAAAGAAACACAUUGCAACCAAUUGGCAUUAAAAUAAAUCAAUUUCAUUUUUUUUUGCAAAAUUUCCCAAAAAAAACGUAAGGGGUAAGCCUUAUGAAAUUUUCGAGUUGAAAAUUUUUUAAAAUUUUUUUUGUGAUUUUUUAUUCUAUUUUUAAUUUAAAGCAUUAUUUGAGUGAAAAGAAACACAUUGCAACAAAUUUGCAUGAAAAUAUAUCACAUUUAUAAAUUUUGCUAAAUUGCUCAAAAAAGACCAAAAUCUUACAUUUUCUCAAACAGGGGAAGGAACUUGGUUCCUCGAAUAACUUCCGGCCCGGACACCUGAGAGCAUGGCUGUCCAAGAAGAAAAUGUAGCCAUUGAUGCCAUCUAUCGACCACAGGUUAAAGAUUAGCGAUCCGUUGGAUACCGACCGAGUUAUAAGCAAAAUUUUGUGCAACAAUGAGGAAAAUUUUACAUUUUCUCAAACAGGGUAAGGAACUUGGUUCCUCGAAUAACUUCCGACCCGGACACCUGAGAGCAUGGCCGUCCAAGAAGAAAAUGUAGCCAUUGUUGCCAUCUAUCGACCACAGGUUAAAGAUUGGCGAUCCGUUGGAUACGGACCGAGUUAUAGGCAAAACUUGGUGCAAAAAUGAGCCUUAGUAAAUUUUCUUUUUUUUGAAUUUUUUGAUUUUUUUAUUAUUUUGCACUAUUUUUUUAUUUAAAUCAUUACUUGAGUGAAAAGAAACACAUUGCAACCAAUUGGCAUUAAAAUAAAUCAAUUUCAUUUUUUUUGCAAAAUUUCUCAAAAAAACGUAAGGGGUAAGCCUUAUGAAAUUUUCGAGUUGAAAAUUUUUUAAAAUUUUUUUUCUGAUUUUUUAUUCUAUUUUUAAUUUAAAGCAUUAUUUGAGUGAAAAGAAUCACAUUGCAACAAAUUUGCAUGAAAAUAUAUCACAUUUAUAAAUUUAGCUAAAUUACUCAAAAAUGACCAAAAUUUUACAUUUUCUCAAACAGGGUAAGGAACUUGGUUCCUCGAAUAACUUCCGGCCCGGACACCUGAGAGCAUGACUGUCCAAAAAGAAAAUGUAGCCAUUGAUGCCAUCUAUCGACCACAGGUUGAAGAUUGGCGAUCCGUUGGAUACGGACCGAGUUAUAGGCAAAACUUGGUGCAAAAAUGAGCCUUAGUAAAUUUUCUUUUUUUUUUUAAUUUUUUGAUUUUUUUAUUAUUUUGCACUAUUUUUUUAUUUAAAUCAUUACUUGAGUGAAAAGAAACACAUUGCAACCAAUUGGCAUUAAAAUAAAUCAAUUUCAUUUUUUUUGCAAAAUUUCCCAAAAAAACGUAAGGGGUAAGCCUUAUGAAAUUUUCGACUUGAAAAUUUUUUAAAAUUUUUUUUGUGAUUUUUUAUUCUAUUUUUAAUUUAAAGCAUUAUUUGAGUGAAAAGAAACACAUUGCAACAAAUUUGCAUGAAAAUAUAUCACAUUUAUAAAUUUAGCUAAAUUACUCAAAAAUGACCAAAAUUUUACAUUUUCUCAAACAGGGUAAGGAACUUGGUUCCUCGAAUAACUUCCGGCCCGGACACCUGAGAGCAUGGCUGUCCAAGAAGAAAAUGUAGCCAUUGUUGCCAUCUAUCGACCACAGGUUAAAGAUUGGCAAUCCGUUGGAUACGGACCGAGUUAUAGGCAAAACUGGGUGCAACAAAGAGGAAAAUUUUACAUUUUCUCAAACAGGGUAAGGAAC
This is a long non-coding RNA of Anopheles funestus (African malaria mosquito), 6634 nucleotides long. RefSeq lists it as uncharacterized. Lineage: Eukaryota; Metazoa; Arthropoda; Insecta; Diptera; Culicidae. The transcript is spliced from 4 exons. The record is from RefSeq and is a predicted model, not a curated record.